AGUAACGGAUGGGAUCGCGAAUCCUGUGGCGAGGGCAUUCAGGGUCGAGGACUGUCRCGUUCGAAGGCCGGUCUUGCCGGUCUCGAGAAGUGGCCAGCUUCCUGCAUUGCUCUCGUCCGGAGGAYGCUGCAGCGGUCGGGUCUCUUUCAAGAUCUCGGGAAGGACGGGCGUUUGCAGGUGGUCGGUGGCGUGCCUUCGGGCACGCCGUCGGCUUUAGAGCUUGCUCGUCCGACGAAGAUCACCCGACCGAGGUGUCGUUAGCCUUUCGGGGCUCUUGCGUCUCCCAGGUUCGUGUUCAGAAGCUUCUCGCAGGCUGAAUCCCCCUGCGUCGCACCGGCUAACCGUGUGGACGAUYGGCRGGAAGACUGUCGUUGGCGUGGCKUGCUCGGUGGAGACUUUCGGCUGGCAGCGAAGUCUCGGAUUCCCACCCGACCUCUUGAAACACGGACCAAGGAGUCUAACMUGUGCGAGUCGUCGGGACUUGUACAUGCCCGCAGGCGCAGAGAAGUCGACGAAGUGCGAUUCGUCGCACUGUGUUGGGAUCCUCCGUUUGGGGGCGCACCAACGMCCCGUCUCCUUCGAUUUUCGAUGGGACGGAGUUYGAGCGUACACGUUGGGACCCGAUAGAUGGUGAACUAUGCCUGGACAGGACGAAGCCAGGGGAAACCCUGGUGGAGGUCCGCAGCGGUUCUGACGUGCAAAUC
RNAcentral lists this ribosomal RNA (704 nucleotides) under Dictyna volucripes. RNAcentral describes it as "partial 28S ribosomal RNA". The stretch from base 448 to 704 matches the Rfam family "Eukaryotic large subunit ribosomal RNA", at positions 665 to 899 of the family's 3401-position model. The record is from RNAcentral. Lineage: Eukaryota; Metazoa; Arthropoda; Arachnida; Araneae; Dictynidae.